AGAGCUAAAACUCUGUCUCUUUGAAUUCUUAUCUGCUGUUCACCACUCUCUACUGACUUAAGCAUCGGAUGGUCCCCACCGAAUAUAAUUUCGAUUAGUGUGGACUUCAUUUUGCAGGUGCUCUUCACCGGCAAUAAACGCAACAGGAGAUUGGCUGCAACAGAUUGGCACACCAGAAAGGAGAAGAAUAUGAGCAAUCAUGGCUAAGACCAGAGCUCAAAAUUUUACAAGAUCAGUGAGAUAAUCUUUUCGUCAGGAAGAUCUUCCUCCCCCUCCUCCAAUGAC
This 285-nucleotide long non-coding RNA is filed under the name Elaeis guineensis (African oil palm). RNAcentral describes it as "long non-coding RNA (EGUI_LNC003496)". The record is from RNAcentral. Lineage: Eukaryota; Viridiplantae; Streptophyta; Magnoliopsida; Arecales; Arecaceae.